RNAcentral lists this unclassified non-coding RNA (253 nucleotides) under uncultured Chitinophagales bacterium. RNAcentral's name for it is "contains 16S-23S intergenic spacer region". It matches the Rfam family "Bacterial small subunit ribosomal RNA", at positions 524 to 776 of the family's 1533-position model. The record is from RNAcentral. Lineage: Bacteria; Pseudomonadati; Bacteroidota; Chitinophagia; Chitinophagales.
UACGGAGGGUGCAAGCGUUAUCCGGAAUCACUGGGUUUAAAGGGUGCGUAGGCGGCUUAGUAAGUCAGAGGUGAAAGUUCUGGGCUCAACCGAGGAAUUGCCUUUGAUACUGCUGAGCUUGAAGGGAGAUGAGGCAGGCGGAAUGUGACAUGUAGCGGUGAAAUGCAUAGAUAUGUCAUAGAACACCAAUUGCGAAGGCAGCUUGCUGGUCUCUACUUGACGCUGAGGCACGAAAGCGUGGGGAGCGAACAGG